UAUCGUUAUUAUUUGUUAACGUUAAAACUUUUAAGAUAUAACUAAGCUUAUUACAACUUUAGUCGUGUACCAACAACGAUGUGAACGAUGACGUAGACGACGACGACGGCAACGACAACUACGAUAAUAACGACAAGAUCCACGAAGGGAAACAAUGAGAAAUCGGAGAUAGUAGGAUGCGUGACUGACUAUUAAACCGCAAACAUUACGCCGAAAGUUGCCAAUUAUUGCCUGACUGCAUCGCUUAGUGGCAGAGGGAUUGAGCGCAAUUAAUUUGCGGUCGUAACGUGCUGUAUAUAGCUUACCGAUGUGACCAAUAACGUUCUUCGUCAGGCAAGAAAAAGAUACACAGGAAUUCUCGUCAGCAAAAAUUUCUAUUGAAAAGGUUAUUGUGGUCAAAGUUUAAAAAAAUUACGAGUUAUGUCUGUGUGUGUCUUUAGGAAGGUUUAGUAAUAAAGAGGACGAUCUGUAAGUUGGAUGAAGCGUUUGAUGAAACUUAAAAUCCGAAGGUGCUGACCUUACAAAACGUGUUUCUUUCGUAGAAAUUUUCGAGAAAAUAAAAAGAAGAAAAGAGAGGAUGUAAGACAGAUAGAAAGAGAUAAAAUAGAUAUAUAUAUAGAAAGUUGACCACUCGAUUGCACCGUGUGCCCGGCAAGUGCACGUGACUAACACUCUAAUUAUGUAUUUAGUCUUAAUUAGGCGGGCGUUACGUUCUCGUGACUGCAGGAUGCUCGCAACGGAAGUUCAAAGUCUCCUGUGCUGCAAGCUCGUAACACGCUAACCACGCCAGCUGUCAGACACCUUUCUCAACCAGAAAUUACACUUUCCACGCUCUCGUUGAGGUAAAAUCACUUCUAAUAACGUUCGGCAAAUCGUAUAUUUUCUUUUUUAUUUAUUUCUUUAACUGAUAACUCAAUAUCGGCAAAUUCGAAGUUUUAUUUAUUUGUAUUUCUAUAUGUGCACACGGAUAUUAAAAUAAUUCGAAAACAUAUAUACUUAAAUGUAUCAUGCGUCGAAUGGAUACGAGUAUUGCAAUUGACUUCGUAUUUUCGUAUUUUCGUAUUUUUAUUCGAAAUCGUUUACUACCGCUAUCAUAUCUAACGAAACUUUUAUGGUUGCUUGUAAACUAGUUUACUCAUGGAAGAUAAUCACUGUCAACUGGUAGGUCGAAUUCGAAAUUAUAAAUAUUCCGUAUCGUUUGCUUUGAUUUCGAUUUGUUCGAUAAUUGUUUUAUAAUUAAGCGAAUUGAAUACAAAUAUUUUAUAGAAAAAACAAACAAUAAUAAAAGCUUUUUCCACGAAAGCUUUACUUUUUUUCAUUAAUAUAAGUACACUUCGUCCGGAAAUUACGAAAAUCCCUAAACACGAUAUUUAAUUUUCAUGAAAACUUUCGGUCACAGUUGCCGCUGCGAUUUUUUUUUCUUUCUUUUCCUUUUUUUCUGUCCAUCUGUCCGUCUGUCUGUUUAUUUCUCUCUCUUCCUAUCUACUCGGACCAACUUUUAGAAGUUAGAUACUUCUAGACUGCAAGUUGGCAAAAGUUCUCAAACAGCUAUAGUUCGUAUCUAUCGGUAAGCCUAAAUUUAACAUUUUCGAAGAGUCGAAAAUUCCAUUAUUUCUGUAAAAGCCGUCUUGACGUGACCGCGGUUCAAGAUUUCACGUUAAUUUCGGGGGGAAAAAAAAAACACAAAAAGCGAAAACGAUUGUCGUAUUUCUUAUAGAAUCAAAUAGAAUUUUUCUUCUAAGAGGCUUAAACGAAGAAGUGGUGUAAAAGUAGACAAGGAAAAGUGGAUGUAGAAAAAGUAUAAUAGGAGAAAGACUAUUCUUUCGCGAUGGCAAUGGCGACGAUGACGACGACAACGACAACGACGACGAAGCCCGCUCGAAUGAUUUUGUCGAAUCGACAAAACUUUUCCCGUGGGUGCUUUUUCACGAAAUACCACUCCGUUUGUACGUCAGAAGACAGUCCCGGUUCAGUAGAUCUGAUAUAUCGUCUCGAUAGCGCCGUCUUAUUCAGACGUUAUAACCAUUAAACUCUGAUAUUGCUUGAAGCCAAUGAGAGAAAAAGUCUAAAAUAUCGUAUAGCUUUCUUACACUGAUCGUUUUGCCAUACGAUAAACGCAUUGGAUUAUUCUACAAUAAGCGGAAAUUAUUUUCGGGAAAAUGAUGAUAAAAUAAUUACUGGUCAUUCAUCUCCUUUCCUAUGCCGUUUGAAAGAGAUUUGUAUCGUGAAAAUUUUUGACGUAAUUAUUUUGCCCAAUUCUGAUUAUUAAGGAUUCAUUUAUUAGAUACAAGUUCUUUUUUUAUACUA
Long non-coding RNA from Polistes dominula (European paper wasp), 2307 nucleotides. RefSeq lists it as uncharacterized. The record is from RefSeq and is a predicted model, not a curated record. NCBI's taxonomy places the organism in Eukaryota, Metazoa, Arthropoda, Insecta, Hymenoptera, Vespidae.